Molecule: small nuclear RNA, 112 nt
Organism: Hibiscus syriacus
Lineage: Eukaryota; Viridiplantae; Streptophyta; Magnoliopsida; Malvales; Malvaceae
Product: U5 spliceosomal RNA
Exons: 1
Source: RefSeq, a predicted model, not a curated record
AAUCACGCAGCCAUAGCGAACUAUUCUUUUGACUUUUACUAAAGAAUACUGUGUGCUCGCUGCAGAACGUGGCAUACGCCUAUUUUUGGAGGGCUCUUUCUCUGGGAAGGGU